This 464-nucleotide ribosomal RNA is filed under the name uncultured actinomycete. RNAcentral's name for it is "bacterial SSU rRNA". It matches the Rfam family "Bacterial small subunit ribosomal RNA", at positions 29 to 509 of the family's 1533-position model. Lineage: Bacteria; Bacillati; Actinomycetota; Actinomycetes; Actinomycetales. The record is from RNAcentral.
ACGAACGCUGGCGGCGUGCUUAACACAUGCAAGUCGAGCGGUGAAGCACCUUCGGGUGUGAAUUAGCGGCGAACGGGUGAGGAACACGUGAAGAAUCUGCCUUCAACUCUGGGAUAACUCCGGGAAACCGGGGCUAAUACCGGAUAUGAGCCUUGAUCGCAUGAUCGGGGCUGGAAAGUUUUUCGGUUGAAGAUGACUUCGCGGCCUAUCAGCUUGUUGGUGAGGUAAUGGCUCACCAAGGCGACGACGGGUAGCCGGCCUGAGAGGGCGACCGGCCACACUGGGACUGAGACACGGCCCAGACUCCUACGGGAGGCAGCAGUGGGGAAUAUUGGGCAAUGGAGGAAACUCUGACCCAGCGACGCCGCGUGAGGGAUGAAGGCCUUCGGAUUGUAAACCUCUUUCAGUAGUGAAGAGGCGAAAGUGACGGUACCUACAGAAGAAGCACCGGCUAACUAUGUGCC